This 485-nucleotide long non-coding RNA is filed under the name Heterocephalus glaber (naked mole-rat). RNAcentral describes it as "lncRNA (ENSHGLG00000047143.1)". The record is from RNAcentral. Lineage: Eukaryota; Metazoa; Chordata; Mammalia; Rodentia; Bathyergidae.
GGCCAGUAACUUCAGGGUCCGCUGUAUGUUUUACCUGACGUGGGAGGCUUCAGAAAGGAAGGCUCAGAGCAGCAAGGCCUGUGUGCGCCUGCGCUCGCUCAGGUCGGUGAGGAGGACGGUCGCAGGGAGACACGUGGACAGAAGACCUGCUGCAGGCUCCGAGAGUGGCAUCUCCCUCCCAUUCCAUAUGUGCAGCAUCCCACAGUGCAGCAGUAACACUGGAAAGCUGGGGAGACGCUCCGGUGAUUGAAACCCAAACACUGUAGAAUGGCUCUGAUGGAGAAGAAGCCUUUGAACACCUGAAGUAAAGUCAUUCAUGAAGAUCAUCCCAACACUAGCCAGGAAGAGAGCAGAGCGGAGCUCCAGACGUGGAGUCAGAGAGAACUGGGUGUUCUCCUGGAAGCUCCUCCCAAAAGCUUCCCAGCACCAAGGUUCCCCAUGUAACCCCAGCCUGCCAGUACCAAAAGAGGAAAAAUAUCCUACAG